Molecule: long non-coding RNA, 524 nt
Filed under: Mytilus galloprovincialis (Mediterranean mussel)
Lineage: Eukaryota; Metazoa; Mollusca; Bivalvia; Mytilida; Mytilidae
Source: RNAcentral
GUAGACAUAAACAAAUCUUAUUUGUGUUUAUCAUUUCAACAGAUGUACCUGUGUUAACUUUGAAGGUAUCUUCCUCAUUUAAUAACUAGUGCAAACAAUACCAGACAGUGCUGAAUAUCUGAUGUGUUGCCUAACACCAAAUAUUGUCUGUUGGUAUUAUCAACAAUCGCGGUGUCCUUCAGCAGCACUCAUUAUAACUUAUUUUUCAAAAUAUUUUGUAAAGUUUCAAGGCUAAUGUGAUCUGAAUAUGUCCCCUUCUUUUUAUCAUACUUAUAAUAUAGUCGUUAAAGACAACAGUAAGAAAGCUACUUAAGUGACCCUGCCUGAAAAGAAACCACAUAACUGUAAUAGAUGUUCUUUGUUGACCAAGCUUCGUCUUGAAGGCCGUACUUUGAUCUAUAUGAUAAAUCCCAUUUCUUUUUAAUAUGUAAAAUAAACGAUGAUUUAAAGACGCAAUACACAAGUUUUUCUGAAAAUGAAAUAUAUACUUAAUCUAACCACUAGUCAACAAAUGACAUCUUUAG